RNAcentral lists this non-coding RNA (140 nucleotides) under Microbacterium oleivorans. RNAcentral describes it as "FMN sequence". It matches the Rfam family "FMN riboswitch aptamer (RFN element)". Rfam says of the family: The RFN element is a highly conserved domain that is found frequently in the 5'-untranslated regions of prokaryotic mRNAs that encode for flavin mononucleotide (FMN) biosynthesis and transport proteins. This element is a metabolite-dependent riboswitch that directly binds FMN in the absence of proteins. The record is from Rfam by way of RNAcentral. Lineage: Bacteria; Bacillati; Actinomycetota; Actinomycetes; Micrococcales; Microbacteriaceae.
AACGUGCUCCGGGGUCGGUGAGAAUCCGAACCGGCGGUGACAGUCCGCGAGCGGGACCUCUGGUCCUGCUGACCCGGUGGAAUUCCGGAACCGACGGUGAUGCGACGCAAGUCGCUAGUCCGGAUGGGAGGCAGCACGGA